This 422-nucleotide ribosomal RNA is filed under the name uncultured bacterium. Its description in RNAcentral is "bacterial SSU rRNA". It matches the Rfam family "Bacterial small subunit ribosomal RNA", at positions 29 to 433 of the family's 1533-position model. The record is from RNAcentral.
AAUCAACGCUGGCGGCGUGCCUAACACAUGCAAGUCGAGCGCGAAAGGGGAGCAAUCCCCAAGUAGAGCGGCGGACGGGUGAGUAACACGUGGGUAACCUACCCUCGGGUGGGGAAUAACUCAGGGAAACUUGAGCUAAUUCCGCAUAACAUCCCGGGCUCAUAAGAGUCCGGAAUCAAAGCUGGGGACCCUUCGGGGCCUGGCGUCUGAGGAGGGGCCCGCGGCCGAUUAGCUAGUUGGCGAGGUAACGGCUCACCAAGGCGACGAUCGGUAGCCGGCCUGAGAGGGCGGACGGCCACACUGGAACUGAGACACGGUCCAGACUCCUACGGGAGGCAGCAGUGGGGAAUCUUUGGCAAUGGGGGACAACCCUGACCAAGCAACGCCGCGUGGAGGACGAAGGCCCUCGGGUCGUAAACUCC